This is a transfer RNA of 65 nucleotides. It matches the Rfam family "tRNA". Rfam says of the family: Transfer RNA (tRNA) molecules are approximately 80 nucleotides in length.
GUUUUUAUAGUUUAUCAUAAAACAUUGGUCUUGUAAACCAAAGCUAAGAGAACUCUUUAAAAACU